UACGUAGGGGGCUAGCGUUGUCCGGAAUCAUUGGGCGUAAAGCGCGUGUAGGCGGUUCGGUAAGUCCGCUGUGAAAGUCGGGGGCUCAACCCUCGGAUGCCGGUGGAUACUGUCGAGCUUGAGUACGGAAGAGGCGAGUGGAAUUCCUGGUGUAGCGGUGAAAUGCGCAGAUAUCAGGAGGAACACCGAUGGCGAAGGCAAUCCCCUGGACCUGUACUGACGCUCAUGCACGAAAGCGUGGGGAGCAAACAGG
RNAcentral lists this ribosomal RNA (253 nucleotides) under uncultured bacterium. RNAcentral describes it as "partial 16S ribosomal RNA". It matches the Rfam family "Bacterial small subunit ribosomal RNA", at positions 524 to 776 of the family's 1533-position model. The record is from RNAcentral.